GGGUUGUGAGGUUAAGCGACUAAGCGUACACGGUGGAUGCCCUGGCAGUCAGAGGCGAUGAAGGACGUGCUAAUCUGCGAUAAGCGUCGGUAAGGUGAUAUGAACCGUUAUAACCGGCGAUUUCCGAAUGGGGAAACCCAGUGUGUUUCGACACACUAUCAUUAACUGAAUCCAUAGGUUAAUGAGGCGAACCGGGGGAACUGAAACAUCUAAGUACCCCGAGGAAAAGAAAUCAACCGAGAUUCCCCCAGUAGCGGCGAGCGAACGGGGAGCAGCCCAGAGCCUGAAUCAGUGUGUGUGUUAGUGGAAGCGUCUGGAAAGGCGCGCGAUACAGGGUGACAGCCCCGUACACAAAAAUGCACAUACUGUGAGCUCGAUGAGUAGGGCGGGACACGUGGUAUCCUGUCUGAAUAUGGGGGGACCAUCCUCCAAGGCUAAAUACUCCUGACUGACCGAUAGUGAACCAGUACCGUGAGGGAAAGGCGAAAAGAACCCCGGCGAGGGGAGUGAAAAAGAACCUGAAACCGUGUACGUACAAGCAGUGGGAGCACGCUUCGGCGUGUGACUGCGUACCUUUUGUAUAAUGGGUCAGCGACUUAUAUUCUGUAGCAAGGUUAACCGAAUAGGGGAGCCGAAGGGAAACCGAGUCUUAACUGGGCGUUAAGUUGCAGGGUAUAGACCCGAAACCCGGUGAUCUAGCCAUGGGCAGGUUGAAGGUUGGGUAACACUAACUGGAGGACCGAACCGACUAAUGUUGAAAAAUUAGCGGAUGACUUGUGGCUGGGGGUGAAAGGCCAAUCAAACCGGGAGAUAGCUGGUUCUCCCCGAAAGCUAUUUAGGUAGCGCCUCGUGAAUUCAUCUCCGGGGGUAGAGCACUGUUUCGGCAAGGGGGUCAUCCCGACUUACCAACCCGAUGCAAACUGCGAAUACCGGAGAAUGUUAUCACGGGAGACACACGGCGGGUGCUAACGUCCGUCGUGAAGAGGGAAACAACCCAGACCGCCAGCUAAGGUCCCAAAGUCAUGGUUAAGUGGGAAACGAUGUGGGAAGGCCCAGACAGCCAGGAUGUUGGCUUAGAAGCAGCCAUCAUUUAAAGAAAGCGUAAUAGCUCACUGGUCGAGUCGGCCUGCGCGGAAGAUGUAACGGGGCUAAACCAUGCACCGAAGCUGCGGCAGCGACACUAUGUGUUGUUGGGUAGGGGAGCGUUCUGUAAGCCUGUGAAGGUGUGCUGUGAGGCAUGCUGGAGGUAUCAGAAGUGCGAAUGCUGACAUAAGUAACGAUAAAGCGGGUGAAAAGCCCGCUCGCCGGAAGACCAAGGGUUCCUGUCCAACGUUAAUCGGGGCAGGGUGAGUCGACCCCUAAGGCGAGGCCGAAAGGCGUAGUCGAUGGGAAACAGGUUAAUAUUCCUGUACUUGGUGUUACUGCGAAGGGGGGACGGAGAAGGCUAUGUUGGCCGGGCGACGGUUGUCCCGGUUUAAGCGUGUAGGCUGGUUUUCCAGGCAAAUCCGGAAAAUCAAGGCUGAGGCGUGAUGACGAGGCACUACGGUGCUGAAGCAACAAAUGCCCUGCUUCCAGGAAAAGCCUCUAAGCAUCAGGUAACAUUAAAUCGUACCCCAAACCGACACAGGUGGUCAGGUAGAGAAUACCAAGGCGCUUGAGAGAACUCGGGUGAAGGAACUAGGCAAAAUGGUGCCGUAACUUCGGGAGAAGGCACGCUGAUAUGUAGGUGAAGUCCCUCGCGGAUGGAGCUGAAAUCAGUCGAAGAUACCAGCUGGCUGCAACUGUUUAUUAAAAACACAGCACUGUGCAAACACGAAAGUGGACGUAUACGGUGUGACGCCUGCCCGGUGCCGGAAGGUUAAUUGAUGGGGUUAGCGGUAACGCGAAGCUCUUGAUCGAAGCCCCGGUAAACGGCGGCCGUAACUAUAACGGUCCUAAGGUAGCGAAAUUCCUUGUCGGGUAAGUUCCGACCUGCACGAAUGGCGUAAUGAUGGCCAGGCUGUCUCCACCCGAGACUCAGUGAAAUUGAACUCGCUGUGAAGAUGCAGUGUACCCGCGGCAAGACGGAAAGACCCCGUGAACCUUUACUAUAGCUUGACACUGAACAUUGAGCCUUGAUGUGUAGGAUAGGUGGGAGGCUUUGAAGUGUGGA
This 2152-nucleotide ribosomal RNA is filed under the name Escherichia coli. RNAcentral describes it as "partial 23S ribosomal RNA". It matches the Rfam family "Bacterial large subunit ribosomal RNA", at positions 1 to 2168 of the family's 2925-position model. The record is from RNAcentral. Lineage: Bacteria; Pseudomonadati; Pseudomonadota; Gammaproteobacteria; Enterobacterales; Enterobacteriaceae.